CCUACGGGUGGCAGCAGUGGGGAAUAUUGCGCAAUGGGCGCAAGCCUGACCCAGCAACGCCGCGUGAAGGAUGAAGGUCUUCGGAUCGUAAACCUCUGUCGCGAGGGACGAAGAAUGACGGUACUUAGUAAGAAAGACUCGGCUAACUACGCGCCAGCAGCCGCGGCAAUACGUAGGGGGCCAGCGUUGUUCGGACUGACUGGGCGUAAAGGGAGUGUAGGCGGCUCAUCAAGUUAGAUGUGAAAUCCCGUGGCUUAACCGGGGAACUGCAUCUGAAACUGGUAAGCUGGAGUGCAGGAGAGGAGAGUGGAAUUCCUGGUGUAGCGGUGAAAUGCGUAGAUAUUAGGAGGAACACCAGAGGCGAAGGCGACUCACUGGACUGUAACUGACGCUGAGGCUCGAAAGCGUGGGGAGCAAACAGGAUUAGAUACCCGAGUAGUC
Molecule: ribosomal RNA, 441 nt
Filed under: uncultured bacterium
Lineage: Bacteria
Description: partial 16S ribosomal RNA
Rfam family: Bacterial small subunit ribosomal RNA
Source: RNAcentral